AGAUAGGUCUGUCUCCUAUACCAAGGUACAGGAAACACCCAGGCUGCAUCAUGCUGCUGAAGACAAACCUGGGCAUACAGAAGAUCUUCAGGUCUCCCAGCUCACAGAAGUGAGAAGAAAAGUGACUCAAUCCCAUGCCUUUUUAAUGUACAGGAAAAAGCAGUGUUUUCUCACUGCUGUGGGAAAUCUGGGGCAGAUUCUCUGAAGAGUCCCAGCUGUGGCUUUCUAGCAAGCAUCAAGCCUUGGGAAAGAGCUUUGUGGACAGAGACCAGCUUUCAACAUGCCCCAACUUCAGUGCUGCUCUCCAGACUGUGUUUGUGUUAAAGAAGUAUGCAAGCAUAUCAUAGAAAAAGAGUGGAGUUGACAUCUUUAAUCAUUUGAAAAAAUUUUAAUACCUUAUGAUUCAUGACAGCCUGCUUUUAGAGAGGAUUCUGGCCACAGAGAUCUCACUGAAGCUCGUGGUUGUGCUCUCCACCUUCCAGUCAAAUGAACUGAGGUAACAGCUGACUGUUCCCUUUUUUAGUGACUGAAAAAACAGAGACCUGAAGACUAGGCUAAUGAUGGUGAGCCCCUGGUGCGGAUGCUAACUCUGGCAUUGACAGAGGGAAGAAGAAUAUGGAACAUGUUCACAUUCACCAGAAAAACAUUGUUCUUCUCCCUCCUGCACCCUCCUUGCCGUGACCAAGGUGACCUUACUGCUACGUCAGGGAUAAUGCUGUCGGUGUCCUGUGAGGCAAGUGGGAGUCGAGGAAGAUCUGUUCUUCUGCUGCAGGCUGUCCCGUCAUGUGGCACGAGGCUUAAAGACAGGACAUAGCUCAAUAACCUUUUUCAGGUGUGUUUUUUCACGAAAUUCUUUUGCAGCAAAGUAAUAAAAGAUGGCAUCCAGGCAGCAGUUCAGGUUGGCUAAUAUCAUUGACACUUGAAUGAAGAGGCUGAUGGUUUGUUUCAGACUGCAAUCCACUAUCACGUGCUGCCUUACCAGGCACUGUAGGCAGAUCGCAAGGUGGACAGGUGUGAAGCACACCAAAAACACCACGAGGUUGAUGAUAAUGACUCGUAAGGAGCCACUGCCUUCUAAGUUCUUUUUAGCUUGACUUCUGUGCUUCAGAAGAAUCCAGAUGUUUUGGACAGAGCAGAAAACUAUCACUGCGAGUGGGAUCAGAAAUCCAAAAAUUUCCAGAGAAACAAUGAGGGGGACGCUCCACGCCUGUUCUGACAUGUUGUAAAAGCAUCUAAAAUCAUCUUUCUUGUGAAACACGUACAUUGGGCUGCUGCAAAGCCAAGCUACUGCCCAGAUGAAGGAGCAAAUCAAGAUGGCCCAUUUGGGGGAUUGAUUAGCUCGACCUUUAAAUGGGUGCUUUAUGCUGAUAUAUCUGUCGACAGUAAUGCAGACAAUGAUGAAGAUACUGCUGUACGUGUUGACGAAAUAGAGAGACUCUAUGAAUGAGCACAGGAGUCCAGAUGCUUCUGUGUUAGAGUAGUAGAGCUUGAGCGGGAGCGAGAGAAGCAGCAAGACAUCGGCAAGCGCGAGAUUUAUCAUGUAAACUGAGGUUUUGGUCUGUUUCUUCCAAACGCAGCAGAACACGCAGAGGGCCAGACUGUUGAGAACCAGCCCGAGAAUGAAGGUGGGGAUGGAGAUCCCCAUCUGCAGGGUCUUUGCUAAUUUGUCGAUGUCUCUAAAAUUACAUUCCCUGCUGCUGUUGGUCAUUUCUCCCUUAAAACAACAGAACAGGUUGGAAAUGUGUAAGAGUCAGAGUUAAUGCCCUGAUAUAUCAGAACAAAGUACUUUCAAACACAACUCUGGGCUUUUUUGGUUUUGAGCAAUACAGUCAAUCAGUCUUUGGCUGUUACUGAAAGCGAAUCCUCAUUUCAAGCACAGAGCUUUCUAUUUCCAAUUUGAGUGGCUUGAUCUGUUAAAAAGGAGCUUGAUUCUCAAUGGCAGUCAGCAUCCACUGACUACCAUAUCCUUUAAGAUAAUCCCAUUCAGAUAUUGAAGAGACUGACCCAUUCAAACAUGUUUUCAAAAAAUCUCAAGUGUACUGGCUAACCUGUACAUCUAUUAAAACUUCCAUAACACUUAUGUUGAGUUCCUUUGCUACACAGAAAUUUAUGAAAUUAUUGUUCCAUAUUAAGGCAGGUCAAACUGAUAGCUGAGAUUUUACUCUUAUAUCCAUGAUUCCCUAUGCAUCAGUAGCUUUUGCCAAUGUGCUUUUACUACACCCGCAUUUAUAUGGAUAUUUUCAUUUCAUAUAGUGCUUGUAUCCGAUGCAGUUUUUUUAGAAGGUCAGCUUAAGAUGCC
Molecule: long non-coding RNA, 2299 nt
Organism: Grus americana (Whooping crane)
Lineage: Eukaryota; Metazoa; Chordata; Aves; Gruiformes; Gruidae
Exons: 5
Source: RefSeq, a predicted model, not a curated record